RNAcentral lists this ribosomal RNA (527 nucleotides) under uncultured bacterium. RNAcentral describes it as "bacterial SSU rRNA". It matches the Rfam family "Bacterial small subunit ribosomal RNA", at positions 980 to 1509 of the family's 1533-position model. The record is from RNAcentral.
CUUGACAUCCAGAGAACUUCCAGAGAUGGAUUGGUGCCUUCGGGAACUCUGAGACAGGUGCUGCAUGGCUGUCGUCAGCUCGUGUUGUGAAAUGUUGGGUUAAGUCCGCAACGAGCGCAACCCCUAUCCUUUGUUGCCAGCGAUUCGGUCGGGAACUCAAAGGAGACUGCCGGUGAUAAACCGGAGGAAGGUGGGGAUGACGUCAAGUCAUCAUGGCCCUUACGAGUAGGGCUACACACGUGCUACAAUGGCGUAUACAAAGAGAAGCAACCUCGCGAGAGCAAGCGGACCUCAUAAAGUACGUCGUAGUCCGGAUUGGAGUCUGCAACUCGACUCCAUGAAGUCGGAAUCGCUAGUAAUCGUAGAUCAGAAUGCUACGGUGAAUACGUUCCCGGGCCUUGUACACACCGCCCGUCACACCAUGGGAGUGGGUUGCAAAAGAAGUAGAUAGCUUAACCUUCGGGAGGGCGUUUACCACUUUGUGAUUCAUGACUGGGGUGAAGUCGUAACAAGGUAGGCGUAGCGAG